RNAcentral lists this ribosomal RNA (456 nucleotides) under uncultured bacterium. RNAcentral's name for it is "bacterial SSU rRNA". It matches the Rfam family "Bacterial small subunit ribosomal RNA", at positions 28 to 523 of the family's 1533-position model. The record is from RNAcentral.
GGUGAAUGCUGGCGGCGUGGAUAAGUCAUGCAAGUCAAGGGGGCCCGCAAGGGCAACCGGCAAACGAGGUAGUAACACGUAGGUAGACCCCCCAGAGUCGGGCGAUAGCCAGCCGAAAGGUUGGGUAAUUCCCGAUAGUCCCGAAAGGGUAAAGGUUUUUCGUCUCUGGGAGGUUGCCUGCGUAGUAUCAGCUAGUUGGUAGGGUAAUGGCCUACCAAGGCUACGACGCUUAGGGGAGCUGAGAGGCUGACCCCCACCGAUGGAACUGCGACACGGUCCAUACUCCUACGGGAGGCUGCAGACGAGAAUAUUCCGCAAUGGGCGAAAGCCUGACGGAGCGACGCCGCGUGAUUGAUGAAGUGCUUCGGUACGUAAAGAUCUUUUAUCGGGGACGAAGUUUAUUGACGGUACCCGAUGAAUAAGGGGCUCCUAACUCUGUGCCAGCAGCCGCGGUAA